RNAcentral lists this ribosomal RNA (253 nucleotides) under uncultured bacterium. RNAcentral's name for it is "partial 16S ribosomal RNA". It matches the Rfam family "Bacterial small subunit ribosomal RNA", at positions 524 to 776 of the family's 1533-position model. The record is from RNAcentral.
UACGUAGGGGGCUAGCGUUGUCCGGAAUCAUUGGGCGUAAAGAGCGUGUAGGCGGCCCGGUAAGUCCGCUGUGAAAGUCGGGGGCUCAACCCUCGAAUGCCGGUGGAUACUGUCGGGCUAGAGUGCGGAAGAGGCGAGUGGAAUUCCUGGUGUAGCGGUGAAAUGCGCAGAUAUCAGGAGGAGCACCAAUUGCGAAGGCAGCUCGCUGGGACGUAACUGACGCUGAGACGCGAAAGCGUGGGGAGCAAACAGG